RNAcentral lists this long non-coding RNA (1144 nucleotides) under Nicotiana tabacum (common tobacco). RNAcentral describes it as "long non-coding RNA (NTAB_LNC012519)". Lineage: Eukaryota; Viridiplantae; Streptophyta; Magnoliopsida; Solanales; Solanaceae. The record is from RNAcentral.
AAGAAAUCAAAAUCAAUAUUCGAAUAAAAAUUGUCAUGAAAGAAUCUGAACCGUAGAACGUGAAGUUUAGCUCCACAUAGACAUGGUAGCCAAACAACAAAUCAUACAAAGAAAUAUAAAAAUUAUUAAGUUUGGUGGAAGAAAAGAUGAAACCGGCCUCCACAGUGGCUCUAUGCUUGUUACUCAAAAACGUCCUCCCCAAAAUGUCCUCGUGGGUCUGUAAGAUGCACUGGUUAAGCAGUCCGCUCAUGUGGCCUACCGGCUUCGAAUCAUGGGUCUGCCUCUUUAUAAACAUGCUAAAAUUAGUCAAUCGUGAAAGUACUAUAAAUCAUGGUAAGGAAAAAAAAAAAUCAUGCUAAGAAUCGUAUUAAUCUGAUGUGAUACACGUUAAAUUUGGACUAAUUUGCUAAAAAGAAAAUCAUUAAGUUGUUCAAAUUAAGCUGCUUUUAGCGUCCCCGGUGGAACAAAAAGUAUAACUAUAUGCUUAUAUUAAAUUUCAAAUGAAAGGAAACGCAGCUAGCAUUUUGUCAUUCACAUUUGCAUACUCAUGUUUGAGAAUAUUGACAUAACACGUAGUGGACAUGGUACGUUAUUUUCCAGGCGAAUGCCAACUUAGCAUCUAACUUCUAAUGAUAAUCUUCUCCAAAGUCAAACAUUUGUUUAUUAUAUUAGGUAUUUCUGUUAUUCUAACCAAUCAUUAUUCUAUAUAUAUGAGGAACUCAUAAAGAAAUUCAAGCAAAGCAUUCAAUCAAAAGAAGUAAUUACACGAAGUAAGGUACAGAAAUGGAAUUGAAAUUUGCAGAAGACAGAUGUGCAUGGCCAAAGAGAUCAACAGAAUCAAAGAUUUUAAGAACAAGAAGCCAAAAAACUAAUGUGAUGAGCAAUAUUUUGGAUGCAAUUGCAAAAGUUAAUAAGAAAGAUUUUUCAAGUCAAGAAAAAGGAGAGGUGGUGAGGAUGAAAAUUGUGGUGAAAAAAGAAGAUUUAAAGCAAGUUCUUGAAGCAUUAAGAGAUGGUAAUAUUAAUGAAAAUAGAAGCCAAAUUUCACCUUCUCAGGUUGCUGUUUUGUCUUUGGAACAACGCUUGAAUUUCAUGAGAAAAAGACAGCAAAUUAGAAAAGCCAAUCAAAUCAAGCUUAGAAAUAAUU